CUCUUGAAAUAAAACUACCCCCUGUCACCCGUUGACCACAAACGCUGUAAAGGGUUAAAAACGUCGGGAUGUAUUAUAAAUUCACUAUACGCGAUAUAAUCCGUUUUCAUAUUUUUCGUUAUAUUAGCGGCUUCGAAACCCUCCACUGAGCCAAGGAGCUAUGAGUUCCCAUUGGGAGCCUCCCAAUGUGUUUUUGGUCUGCUAUUUAUGACUUUUCGAAUGAUUAUCUUUCAGACUGAUGAAAACAUUGUUAUUUUCAUGAUGUCGUGACUUAUCCCACUUUUUGUGUUUACAGCUUCCCCAAAAAUCCGAAAUUAAGGAAUCUAUGGAAAGAAUUUUGCAAUAAUAAGCUAAUCUGGGAUCCCAAAAGGACUAGCACACUUUGCUCAGUGCACUUCCAAACAUCGGAUUUUCAAAAUCUUGCGAACAGGAGGAGAAAAUUAGUGGAGAAUGCAAUUCCAAAAUUAAUACCAAAUUGCAUUUGCAACAGCCAUCCAUUACCCAUUGAACCAUCGUGCAAUACUGUUGGGGCUAACACUUCAGCUACGCCAAACUUUUUGACUUCUCUUAGUGAAUCAUCUCAUCAACAACCUCAAAAACAGGAAAUUCAGAUGACAGUUUCUUCUGAAAAAAGUGCUCCAAUGUUUCUAACUCAAAGCGAUAGUCUUUCGCCAAGAAAAAGAAAAAUGCAAAAUCAAAUAGACCACCAAAAGAAAAAAAUAAAGCGACUUCAAGCUAAAAAUCGAUAUUUAAAGAAAAAAGUGGCUACUCUGGAAGAAAUUCUUCAGACUCUGGAUGAGAAAGCAUUUAUCGAUAAAGAAGAAAAAAAUGAUUCUUGAAACAAUCGGUGUUGAAGAAAAAGAGCUUAUAUAGCGACAACAGAAGAAAAGUGAAAGUGGUAAGCUGUCAAGGGACAAAUAUUCACCAGAACUAAGAUGUUUCGCUCUAACCCUUAACUUUUACUCGCCAAAAGCCUAUAAAUUCGUGCGUAAAACUUUCGGAACAUGUUUGCCGCAUCCGAGGACGCUGACUUAAUGGUACAGUAAUAUUGAAGGUCGACCGGGUUUUACCAAGGAAGCAUUAACAGCGUUGAAGUAUAAAGCAGAGGCCAAUCCAGAUAAAAAAAAUUACUGUUCUCUGGUUUUUGACGAGAUGAAAAUUAUGUGUAAUCCAGAAAGCCCUCCUAAUAGUAACAGACAAUUCGGCCGUGUUGAUUAUGGGUUCGAUUUAGUAACUGACAAUUCAGUAGAAGCUACAGAUGUCCUAGUUUUUCUACUAGUGGGCAUAAACACAUCAUGGAAGGUUCCAAUUGCCUUUUUUUUAGUCAAAGGCACAAGUGCAAAAUUAAAGGCACAAUUAGUAACUAAAGCAUUUGAACUGAUUCAUGAAACUGGAAUUCAGAUUAAAGCGUUAACAUGUGACGGCACAAGACCGAACCUAGCUAUGGCAGCCGAGUUAGGUUGCUGUUUAGAUGCAAGCAAAUUACAAACAACCAUGUUAGAUCCUACUACCGGGCUGUGCGUUUAUUGUUUUUUGGAUCCCAGUCACAUGCUGAAGUUGAUCCGUAAUACCUUUAGCGACUAUAAAUGUUUCUUUGAAAUAUAGAAACAUUGAAUAAAAUACAGGAAGAAGAGUUGUUUUAUAUGGCAAAUAAGUUGAGGACAAACCACAUUUAUUUUAAAUCAAAAAUUAUGAAUGUUCGUCUUGCAGCUCAAUUAUUUAGUGCAAGUGUUGCUGACGCACUUAUAUUUUGUGAGACAAAAUUAAAUUUACCAGACUUCCACGGUUGUACUGCAACUGCAAAUUUUAUUUUGCUUAUCAAUGAUGUUUUUGAUAUACUAGAUUCGCGAUCUUGUCAGCAUCGCGUCAAAAGAGCAUUAAAUAAAGAAAACAUUGGAAAGGCUUAUCAAAGAAUGGCCGAAGCUCAAAAGGUUUUGAUGAAUCAUAUAAAUAACAUCAAUAAAUUGCUCUGAUAAUUAGAUUAAGAUUAAUUACGAUUCAUAAGAGCUUGUUGCUAGGCCUACAUGAAUAAAGUAUAUUUUGAUUGAUUGAUUGAUUGAUUGAAUCUGUCGGCUUACGUUAAAAAGCGUAAUGGUGAGAUAAGUAAAAUGAAUUUAGUAAAUUCUCCUCGGUGCACUGGUUUUCUUGGAUUUUUGAUCUGUAUAGAGAGUGCCAAAUCUAUAUUUCAAGAAUUCGUUCAAGAUACUGAGAACGGCCUUCAGUAUAUGCCUCUCCAUAGAGUAAGCCAGGACCAUAUUUAACCUUUUUUUUUCAAAUGUAAGAAGUCAUGGUGGUCACUGCGAUAAUCCCACUCCCCGCCAGUUUGAAGCCAUAUAUAAAAAACUACUAAUCAAUACACAAUUAAUGCAAACUGGUAGUGGGACUAACUGCAUCCCAUUAGAAAAAAUAUCAAUACUGAAUUGCACAUCCGCAAUUCAAAAGAUUAAUGCGUCAUCUAUACGCGAAUUCAGCAAUGACGACACUGAUGAAGUCAAUUUCCAAAAUGUCGUUGAUGAUUUAAUGGAUGAAAUUACUCAAACUUUUUUAUCUCCUUUUGGCGAAAAAGUUGUGGAGUACAUAGCAGGUUUUGUUGUUUAUUCUAUAUCAAAAAAAAUCAAAUGCAACACUUGCAUCAAAGGUUUACUCGGUCCAGUUGACAAAAAUAGCUUAAUACAUCAAAAAAGCAGAGGCAACUUACAACAUGCUUCAAAAGAGGUAAUCAACUUAUGUCGAGUUUGCGAAAAGGAGAUAAGACAGCGAUUAGGAGAAGAUAAUAAACCUACCCGAUCAUGUAUCACAAACCAAAUUGUGCUGAAAGUAUUGAAGAAAUUUAUUGGCAAAGAUUUAUUUCCGUUCAUUUCUUAUCACUCCUAUGAAAAUAUUUUAUGGACCAUAAUAUGGAGCUUGCUAGAUUAAUCUUAGAAAAAUACUCCGACACCAGAAUUUCAUUCCUGAUAAAAAAAUUGAACCCAAAAAAAUGUGUACGUCAAAUAUACACAAAAUUAAUACAUUUUAAAAACCAAUGAAAGUCUUGUUUGUAUAUUGUAUCGGGUAUUAUUCAAGGAUCCAAUUGGAUACUAAUGCUGUUUCGGAUGUGAGACAGGCCUAUGGAACUCUCCGCGCGAGCUCGGAUUUUUGCAUAUGAAUCUCGUCUCGUUCACGGUGUAAAAGCUAGUCGGUUGCUGUAAAGAGUGCCAUACAACUUUUUGCCAAAAGGUGAUAAGUUUGCGUCUCAAUUUCAUCCAUUAAAUCAUAAAUAAAUAAAUAUUAUAGAGACAUUCUUACACAAAUUUACUAAGUCCCACGAUAAGCUCAAGAAAGCUUGUGUUGUGGGUACUCAGACAACGAUAUAUAUAAUAUACAAAUACUUAAAUACAUAGAAAACAUCCAUGACUCAGCAAAUAUUUGUGUUCAUCAUACAAAUUAAUGCCCUUACCUUCAUAGGCUUCAUAGGCAGGGUCACUAACCACUAGGCCAGACCGGUCAUCAACUUAGAGGAUAUAACUAACGGAGACGCCAUGUCUAAAAUUUUCGGUACAAAAUAGUCUGCCGUUUUUUGCGGGGGAGGGGCACAUCAAAUGUAUAGGUACGUCAUGUCAGAUAAACGUCAGUCCAUACAUAUGGUUGACAAGUUGUUGACCAUUGGCCGCCUAUUUUCGACAGAGGGGAACGCCUGUUAAUGGCGGCUCCAUUGUUAAUUACUCCGAGGUCAUCAACGACAUUUAGGAAAUUAACUUCAUCAGUGUCGCAGUGUCGUCAAACUGUAUUCGCGUAUAGAUAACGCAUUGAUUUUAUGAAUUGCGGAUGCGCAAUUCAGUACCUAUAGAUAUUUUUUCUAAUGCAAUGCAGUUAGUCCCACUAUGACACUUAUGUAAGUAAGUACUUAAGUACUUACUGUUAUUUAAUUGUAUUACUUUUGCCCUGGUUCUGGGACCUAUAAUUCUGUCUAUUUAUGUUUUCUCAGAUAGUUUCUUUAUUGUGUAACAUAAAUCUCUAAUUUCUCUAUCUGGUUUAGGUGUAAUUUAUACUCGGAGUUUUACAAUUCAUUUUUACUGGGUUCAUUUGCAUUGUUUAUAAAAUGGCGUGAACACUGAGGUUAUCGCAGUUACUUAUUGCAACUUAUCUUGCUCAUAGUUAUUUUACGUUUUGCUUUUAUAUGCCUACCUAAUGGCAAGUUUUAAUUUUAAUGCUAGUUUGAUCAGUCGAUCUCAAGGCCAGCCUUGACAAUUAAAACUUAUAUUUGUACCUACCUAAGUAGUAGUAGUCUAUGUCUUCUCUUGUUUAAGUAGGUACUUAUUUGUAAAAUAAUUUCUAAGCGUCGGCAACCCUAGCGUUGUGCCGCUGCGCGCGGUGCGGGGAGCUGCGCGUUGAAGGUCACUCCAUUGUAUUUUUGUGUAGGUAUCAAACCGGUAGCUAUUUGCGUUUUCUUUGAGAAAUAAGUAUCUCUUCGUAAGAACUAUUAUGUAAUGUGCUAUAGGCCUGUAAAAAGUAAUAAAUACUGUAUUUUAGGUUGAAAAUGUUUCAAUUAGUUACCUUUAUUCCUACCUCCUUAAUACGAUAAAUGCCCUAACUUAUCGAUAAUAUUUCGAUAUUACUAUGUCGACACAAGCACAUCUCUCAAAAAGCAAUAAAAUUCAAAUGUGUUCGUAUGUGUUAGCGUGCGUGUUGUGACAUGGUUGCAUAGAAGGUAGGAUCGUAUACGAGGGGCAAACUGAAAGUGUUUAGAAUAGAAAAAGCUGAAGUAAUUAGGACGUUACUCUUUAUUUUAAUGCGUGCUUUAUCUCUUUCUGACCACGCGUA
Long non-coding RNA from Cydia splendana, 4800 nucleotides. RefSeq lists it as uncharacterized. The record is from RefSeq and is a predicted model, not a curated record. The transcript is spliced from 3 exons. NCBI's taxonomy places the organism in Eukaryota, Metazoa, Arthropoda, Insecta, Lepidoptera, Tortricidae.